RNAcentral lists this long non-coding RNA (229 nucleotides) under Anas platyrhynchos platyrhynchos (common mallard). RNAcentral's name for it is "lncRNA (ENSAPLG00000027902.1)". Lineage: Eukaryota; Metazoa; Chordata; Aves; Anseriformes; Anatidae. The record is from RNAcentral.
AUGAGGGUGUUCUGGAACUCGGCAGUUGUUGGCAUGAGCUUCAGCUAUUCUCCAUCCCAGGAGGCUCUCAGUAUUUCUGGUUUUGAUCACCAGUGGACAGAACAUAUGGAUUCCUUGACUUCUGGCAGUGCUUUGGUUAUGGGGGCCUAUCUCAAGCAGCUCUCACUUUUGGAGUCCUCUGAGGAACUGAGGUGAGAGAAGAAUAAAAGCCAAUUGCUUUAUUAGAUCA